GACGAACGCUGGCGGCGUGCUUAACACAUGCAAGUCGAGCGGUAAGGCCCUUUCGGGGGUACACGAGCGGCGAACGGGUGAGUAACACGUGGGUGACCUGCCCUCAGCUCUGGGAUAAGCCUGGGAAACCGGGUCUAAUACCGGAUAUGACUCCAUGACGCAUGUUGUGGGGUGGAAAGCCUUGUGCGGCUGAGGAUGGGCCCGCGGCCUAUCAGCUUGUUGGUGGGGUGAUGGCCUACCAAGGCGACGACGGGUAGCCGGCCUGAGAGGGCGACCGGCCACACUGGGACUGAGACACGGCCCAGACUCCUACGGGAGGCAGCAGUGGGGAAUCUUGCGCAACGGGCGAAAGCCUGACGCAGCGACGCCGCGUGAGGGAUGACGGCC
Molecule: ribosomal RNA, 387 nt
Filed under: uncultured bacterium
Lineage: Bacteria
Description: bacterial SSU rRNA
Rfam family: Bacterial small subunit ribosomal RNA
Source: RNAcentral